CGGCGACGGAGGAGUAACGCGUGGAUUAUCUGCCCUGAGGUGGGGGAUAACCCGGGGAAACUCGGGCUAAUACCGCAUAUGACCGUGAGGUCAAAGGGGGGUCGCAAGAUCUCUCGCCAUAGGAGGAGUCCGCGUCCGAUUAGCUAGUUGGUAGGGUAAUGGCCUACCAAGGCGACGAUCGGUAGCCGGCCUGAGAGGGUGAUCGGCCACACUGGAACUGAGACACGGUCCAG
Molecule: ribosomal RNA, 233 nt
Filed under: uncultured bacterium
Lineage: Bacteria
Description: partial 16S ribosomal RNA
Rfam family: Bacterial small subunit ribosomal RNA
Source: RNAcentral